Molecule: ribosomal RNA, 113 nt
Filed under: Clostridia bacterium
Lineage: Bacteria; Bacillati; Bacillota; Clostridia
Description: partial 23S ribosomal RNA
Rfam family: Bacterial large subunit ribosomal RNA
Source: RNAcentral
AUCCCUUGCAUCAGCAAUAAGGUCACAGGUAGACUACCUGUUUGAUAGGUCGCAGGUGGAAGCGCAGUAAUGCGUGCAGCUGAGCGAUACUAAUCGACCGAGUGCUUGAACUG